AGUCAAUUCCACUAAUUCUACUGAAGUACCAUCAGGUGGCUCUAGGAGACAGUCUCCUGUGGUGGGAAUGGGAGAGGUAACUGUCCAGGCCCUUUGUGAGCUCAUCCCACCUCCUGAAACUGGGGGAGUGGAGCCAACAAGGUAAGGCAUCAAGUUGUGGCUCCUGGCAGGGUCUCACUAAAUUUUGUACCAGAUCACAUUUGUGGGGCUUCAUUAAUCGUUCCACCCCUCCUCCUCCCAUGGGAAUCUACAGAGAGUAGGGAUUUUGUCACAGUUUCUACUGUGCCCAAGGCCCUGAGGGUAUCAGGAUUUGGCUUCAGGGUGGCUAAAGGCUGCCUGAGCCAGUCAUGCCUCCACAGUCUCUGGAACUGUUGAACUGAGGCCAUCUGGGAGAGGAGCCAGCCUCAUUCACCAGGAUGGACCACUGCCAAUUCAUCUCCAUGUGAUCUGAAGCCAUGACGGAUGUCUGAGCCAUCAUGGAUAGCUGGACCCCAGAAUAGCUGGACCCCAGAAACUGAUUAUUCUCAGAAAUCCUCAUCUCCAGAUCUGUUGCUCAUCUAGCCACUCUGACUUCCCUGCAGCCCACUGAGACUCCAUGUUGCAUGGAAAGCCCAGUGAAUCCUACCCAGGAGCUACAACCCAACAAGAAUAGUAUAGAGUCCUGUAUCCCUUGGUGAGGCUGGUCAAAAUCAGGCCAGAGAUGAGAAGCAAAGACUGCAGCCAGGGAGCUAAGGGGACACACAGAGCUCUUCCCAGGGCCUGCAGAAUGAGCAGAAUUUCAGGUUCCUGGUGUGGGAUGAGUUCAACUAAAAUCUUUAUUCAGUUAGAAUAAAAAUAUAAACUAGGAA
This is a long non-coding RNA of Felis catus (domestic cat), 848 nucleotides long. RefSeq lists it as uncharacterized. The transcript is spliced from 2 exons. The record is from RefSeq and is a predicted model, not a curated record. Lineage: Eukaryota; Metazoa; Chordata; Mammalia; Carnivora; Felidae.